UUCCCCCCCAAAGCCCCAGGGCAUGGUGGUAUAUUCUAGUUCUAAGUCCUUCUAGUUUUUCUAUGUGAGCUGCCACCACAGCACGGCUACUGACGGAUGGGUGGUGUGGUUCCUGGGUGCGGGAUCCGGGCCCCUGAAGCAGAGUGUGCCCAACUUUAACCACUAGGCCAUCAGGGCCGGCUGGCUCUAGUUGGUUGUUUUUAUAAGAAAUGCAAUGAGCCUCUCCAAGGGACAGACUUCGCAAAAAAAAAAGAGGGGUUUUCCACCAAGUCUCUUUCAUUCUUAUUCCAAAUAAUACCAAGUGCUAAUCGGAUGUUGGUGGCACUGGCUGGUCAGCUCUCUGCUGACCAGCGCGUCUUUUUAGACUGCUUCGAAGCUUGUAACCGUGAAGUCCUCCCCCACCUCUCCUGCUACCUACUGUCCUAGAAGAAGUUGGAAGAGACACCCACCCACAAGUAGGACCAAGGCGGCUGCCACUGCCUCUCUUCUCUGCUGGAACUAUGGCCAAGUGACAAGCAGGUGGCAUUUCUCACAAGCAUGCACUGGGGCCUGACACGGGUUGUCUUUCUGAGCCCAACUCCCAGUCACCGUCACAGACCAAUUUGUGGGUUGGUUGUCCACUCCUGUCAGUCACGCUUGGUGGGGAUGCCCUGUGGGUCAGGUGGUCUACAUGGGUUCACGGGGAAGGGUCUCCAAGUCCUCCUUAAGGGGCCCUGGGCUGGAGUUGGACGGGGUACCAGGAGCAGAGAAAGAAAAGACAUGGGGAGGGUCUUCUGAUGGAUUUGGUGACUGCAGAUGAGGGAUGGUGACAGGUAGGAGGAGUCAGUGACCCUGGAAGGCAGGACAGGUGCCCAGUCGCACUUUCGAGGAGCACAGGCAGGAAGAGCAGGCGAAGGUGCCGUUGGAGAGGGAGGAGGAAGCCCAGCUGAGGGGCCAGAGUUGGCCCAAGAAACAGCUCGGUGAAAGCCAGCACCUCAGGACUGGAGAGGAUGGUGAUUAUAACACGGCUGUGUUCCCUCGAAGCCAUGCAUCCUCUAGCAGUCACAUGACUUCUCUAGGCCUCGGUUUUCCCCUCUGUGAAAUGGAGUCGGUAAUGACACCUCCCCCUUGGACUGUUGAGAGAGCUACAAGAACUUCAAGUGCAGCUCCUGCCUGGAGAGCGGCCUGACUGUGCGUGGGUUGAACACAUCAGUGGUCCUGCAGAGGGAGACAAAUUCUGGCUGUGGAAGCACCAAGGGCAGGUGCUGGACGGGGAGGGCGAGGAAAGUUCCCAGGGGGAGCGCUGGAGCCAGCUGAAGCGGUUUAUCUUUUCCAGGACUGAUUACGCUCAGAGAGACAGAAGGAGGCAGGUGCAGAGCAUUUCGGAAUGGUCAGGGGAUUCCAGGAAGAGGUGGCUAAAUCGGGUGGGUGGGCCGUGUGGCCCUGCCCUGGGGCCACUCCGUUGCAGACUGUAAUGUGCAAAGGAGGCUUUAGAGAGGCGGGGCUGGUGUUCCAGGCAAGCUGAGGUCUCUGCAGAUGGUGCUCCUGGGAGAAACAUCCCGGGGGUGCCGGGCCUGACACUGGGACUGCUGUCUGGAGGCGUGAAUGCAUACACGCUCUGGCUGGCCAGGGCCUACGACCCCAGAGCACGCGGGGAGCACGACCGACCGCCACCGUCCUUCCUGCCGCAGUGAGAACUCACAUUCAGCCUGGGAAAGGCAUGAACCCGUGGUGGGCCGGUGCCUCUUGGAAAAGGGAGCCCCUGGGGAGUAUGGACAUCCCGCUCUCAGUCACCGGGAAGUGCUGGGCCCCGGAGCCACAGAGGCAGGAAGGCAGGCCUCAGUCACUCAGCCAGUCCUGCCAGCUCUCCACCGAAACCAACCCAGCGUCUGAGCCCGCCACCGCCCGUCAGCUGCCACUCUGCCCUCGAGUGUGAUCCCACAAGAAUCACAGGAUGCUUCUUACUCUCUUACAGUCGGGAGAAUUAAGAUACGACACACAUGAAGUAAAACGCACCCUUGUGGAGCACAGCUCCGUGCGCUCUGACGAGGAGUCACCAUGGGACGCCCCCACGGUCAUGAGAACCUUCCAUCGCCCAGCGCUGCCCUCCCACUGCUCCGUAGUCAGCUCCUCCUUCCCCUUCCCGCCACGCUAAACCACUACCGGCCUGCUUUCUGUCACCUUGCGAGUUCUAGAAGUUUAUAUAAAUGGAAUCGCACAGCGCUCUUCUCCUGUGUCUGGCUCCUCCUACUUGAUAGAACGUUUCUGAGACUCACCCACAUCGUGCCUGCCAGUCCUUGAUCCUUUUAGCGCUGAGCAUCUUCCAUCGUACGGAAAUACCACAAUUUCCAUAACCCAUUCAGCAGCCAAUAGACAGGGCUGUUUCCAACUUCAUUCUAUUA
This is a long non-coding RNA of Equus asinus (donkey), 2381 nucleotides long. The record is from Ensembl. Lineage: Eukaryota; Metazoa; Chordata; Mammalia; Perissodactyla; Equidae.